CUUUUUGCCUGCACCUGUGGGGUGGGGGGAGGUCAUAUGUAGGCGGGGCUCUAAUUCCUUCUCUGGGAGGCUCUUUCCUGGCUCCUAUCUGGAAAUCUCCUCCUUCCCACAAUCCUUUGCUCUGCUGCUGGGGAACUGGAGGGAUCAAACCAGAAGACAAGUGGUCAAAACACACACUCCAACGCACACACUGCGACACGCACACACACUCCAACAGGUGGACAACCUGCACUGCUUCCAAGCUGAGCCCCGAAUGACGUCACACAGAAGGAGAGGUGAUGACCACACCUGGUCCUCAGUCCAAACUGGAUGCAGCGAGAACAAAUGAAACAUGGCAGGAUCACCUGCGUGACCACAGUGAGCCCGAUGACUCAGCGACUGUUGAACUGAACGCAGUGCGGCGCCACAAUGACACAUCGUACAAACGAGAGGGGACGCGGAACACGGAGGAUGAUGUAAAAGUUGGGGAACCGCAGGCGGUGUGUUUAGAGCUGCUACCUGCCAUUUGGAGGACACGGGCUUGAAUCCCCCUG
Scleropages formosus (Asian bonytongue) is the source of this 533-nucleotide long non-coding RNA. RefSeq lists it as uncharacterized. The transcript has 3 exons. NCBI's taxonomy places the organism in Eukaryota, Metazoa, Chordata, Actinopteri, Osteoglossiformes, Osteoglossidae. The record is from RefSeq and is a predicted model, not a curated record.